This 294-nucleotide non-coding RNA is filed under the name Phascolarctos cinereus (koala). Lineage: Eukaryota; Metazoa; Chordata; Mammalia; Diprotodontia; Phascolarctidae. The record is from RNAcentral.
GCUGCGUGUAGUGGUACGCACCUCUAAUUCCUGCUACUAGGGAGGCUGAAGCUGGUGAAUUGCUUGAGUUUGGGAAUUAUGAACUGCAGUAUUCUAAGCUGAUCAGUUGUCUGAACUAAGUCUGACACCAAUAUCGUGGGCCCUCAGGAGUGGAGGACCACCAGCCUGUCUAAGGAGGGGAGAACAGACCCAGAUUAGAAAUGAGCUGGUCAGAGCUUUCCUUCCAGGCAGCUUGGGUAGCUACUUCUACUGUACUUCUGUUCUCAGAAAGGAAGACCAGGAGAUCCACUCUCA